This 253-nucleotide ribosomal RNA is filed under the name uncultured bacterium. Its description in RNAcentral is "partial 16S ribosomal RNA". It matches the Rfam family "Bacterial small subunit ribosomal RNA", at positions 524 to 776 of the family's 1533-position model. The record is from RNAcentral.
UACGUAGGGGGCAAGCGUUGUCCGGACUUACUGGGCGUAAAGCGCGUGCAGGCGGAUUGGUAUGUGCCGUGUGAAAGCUCUCAGCUUGCCUGGGAGAGGUCGCGGUAGACAGCCGAUCUGGAGGCUCGGAGAGGUCAGUGGAAUUCCCGGUGUAGUGGUGAAAUGCGUAGAGAUCGGCAGGAACACCCGUGGCGGAAGCGGCCACCUAGCCCAUACCUGACGCUGAGGCGCGACAGCGUGGGGAGCGAACGGG